RNAcentral lists this ribosomal RNA (559 nucleotides) under uncultured bacterium. RNAcentral's name for it is "bacterial SSU rRNA". It matches the Rfam family "Bacterial small subunit ribosomal RNA", at positions 338 to 916 of the family's 1533-position model. The record is from RNAcentral.
CCUACGGGAGGCAGCAGUGGGGAAUCUUGGACAAUGGGGGCAACCCUGAUCCAGCCAUGCCGCGUGAGUGAAGAAGGCCCUAGGGUCGUAAAACUCUUUCGCCUGUGAUGAUAAUGACAGUAGCAGGUAAAGAAACCCCGGCUAACUCCGUGCCAGCAGCCGCGGUAAUACGGAGGGGGUUAGCGUUGUUCGGAAUUACUGGGCGUAAAGCGCACGUAGGCGGAUUAGAAAGUUAGAGGUGAAAUCCCGGGGCUCAACCCCGGAACUGCCUUUAAAACUACUAGUCUAGAGUUCGAGAGAGGUGAGUGGAAUUCCGAGUGUAGAGGUGAAAUUCGUAGAUAUUCGGAGGAACACCAGUGGCGAAGGCGGCUCACUGGCUCGAUACUGACGCUGAGGUGCGAAAGUGUGGGGAGCAAACAGGAUUAGAUACCCUGGUAGUCCACACCGUAAACGAUGAAUGCCAGUCGUCGGGUAGUAUACUAUUCGGUGACACACCUAACGGAUUAAGCAUUCCGCCUGGGGAGUACGGUCGCAAGAUUAAAACUCAAAUGAAUGACGG